Molecule: ribosomal RNA, 253 nt
Filed under: uncultured bacterium
Lineage: Bacteria
Description: partial 16S ribosomal RNA
Rfam family: Bacterial small subunit ribosomal RNA
Source: RNAcentral
UACAGAGGGUGCGAGCGUUGUCCGGAAUCACUGGGCGUAAAGGGCGCGUAGGCGGUCCCCUAAGUGUGUGGUGAAAGCUCGGGGCUCAACCCCGAGUCGGCCGUGCAAACUGGGGGACUCGAGCAUGUCAGAGGCAGGCGGAAUUCCACGUGUAGCGGUGAAAUGCGUAGAGAUGUGGAGGAACACCGGUGGCGAAGGCAGCCUCCUGGGCCAACACUGACGCUCAUGCACGAAAGCGUGGGGAGCAAACAGG